ACAUCUUGCAAGCAUUUGAGUUUGCUCUUGCGUCACCGGUGACAAUCGAAAUUAGAUGUGAGCCAAAUAAAGAUACAGCAACUGAAGUUAAUGCCCCUCUAAGCUUACCUGCACCUAUAAACGGUUCAUCUCAGAUCAGAGAUUCCACUGGCAUCAGUGGUCAGCCCCAUCUUGAAGUGGGUAAAAGUGAAAUAGUUGAACUAGAAGCUUCCUCUAGAGAGCUUACGCUAAAUGGGCAUGUCAAUAACAAUGUGAAAUUUGAUCAAAGAGGCUUAGAAGUAGCUUCCCACGUGGAAAGAGUAAAAUCUAGUGAAAGGAACCCAGGCCAGAGCAUUGUGAGAGGCAAGGUAUCCCUUGCACAUGUGAUACAGCAAGCUGAAGGGUGCUCACAGCAUAGUAGCUGGUCAAGACGCAAAGCAGUUUCCAUCGCCGAAAAGCUUGAACAAGAGAAUCUGAGACUUGAACCAAGGUCUAGAAAUUUGCUUUGCUGGAAAACAUCUAGAGCAACUCGUAAAAAGCUCUCUCGCUUGAAAAUUAGAACGAGGAGGCCACACGCACUGCUGAAGCUUGUUACCUGUGGGAGGUGUCUAUCAAGUAAGUCUUCGAGAUAAUUGAUUGGGAACGCUUGGGAUGUAAAAUCUGUAGCUGCCUUCAACUCAUUAAAAUCUACAAGAAUUUUCUGCUAGUUUCAAAGUCGAUUUUAUUAGUCUUUGUCUGUUUAGAUUUAAUAAUAAGGUGAGGUAUAUUGACUGGAAGUUGUAGGAAUGGAAAUUGUUAGCUCAGUUUAUUUUUAAUGAAUUUCAUUAAUUUCAUC
Eucalyptus grandis is the source of this 814-nucleotide RNA transcript. RefSeq lists it as uncharacterized. The record is from RefSeq and is a predicted model, not a curated record. The transcript has 3 exons. NCBI's taxonomy places the organism in Eukaryota, Viridiplantae, Streptophyta, Magnoliopsida, Myrtales, Myrtaceae.